UGUGGGAGCGGGCUUGCCCGCGAUAGCGGUAUGUCUGAUACGUGGAUGCCGGAUUUGCCACCAUCAUCGCGGGCAAGCCCGCUCCCACA
This 89-nucleotide unclassified non-coding RNA is filed under the name Pseudomonas mohnii. Lineage: Bacteria; Pseudomonadati; Pseudomonadota; Gammaproteobacteria; Pseudomonadales; Pseudomonadaceae. The record is from RNAcentral.